Molecule: ribosomal RNA, 506 nt
Filed under: uncultured bacterium
Lineage: Bacteria
Description: partial 16S ribosomal RNA
Rfam family: Bacterial small subunit ribosomal RNA
Source: RNAcentral
AUUGAACGCUGGCGGCAGGCCUAACACAUGCAAGUCGAGCGGCAGCGGAAAGUAGCUUGCUACUUUGCCGGCGAGCGGCGGACGGGUGAGUAAUGUCUGGGAAACUGCCUGAUGGAGGGGGAUAACUACUGGAAACGGUAGCUAAUACCGCAUAACGUCGCAAGACCAAAGAGGGGGACCUUCGGGCCUCUUGCCAUCAGAUGUGCCCAGAUGGGAUUAGCUAGUAGGUGGGGUAACGGCUCACCUAGGCGACGAUCCCUAGCUGGUCUGAGGGGAUGACCAGCCACACUGGAACUGAGACACGGUCCAGACUCCUACGGGAGGCAGCAGUGGGGAAUAUUCCACAAUGGGCGCAAGCCUGAUGCAGCCAUGCCGCGUGUAUGAAGAAGGCCUUCGGGUUGUAAAGUACUUUCAGCGGGGAGGAAGGUGUUGUGGUUAAUAACCACAGCAAUUGACGUUACCCGCAGAAGAAGCACCGGCUAACUCCGUGCCAGCAGCCGCCGUAA